GGCCUCCCAAAACACAGGCUGUUUUCUUACACUGACUGUAUAAAAGAGGAGGUACAGUAAAUGAUCGCCAUAUACACCGCAAACCAGGCCCUUUACCUGGUCUGUAUUGUGAAUGGGGGGGGGAGG
Molecule: small nucleolar RNA, 126 nt
Organism: Suncus etruscus (white-toothed pygmy shrew)
Lineage: Eukaryota; Metazoa; Chordata; Mammalia; Eulipotyphla; Soricidae
Product: small nucleolar RNA SNORA51
Exons: 1
Source: RefSeq, a predicted model, not a curated record